RNAcentral lists this ribosomal RNA (441 nucleotides) under uncultured bacterium. RNAcentral's name for it is "partial 16S ribosomal RNA". It matches the Rfam family "Bacterial small subunit ribosomal RNA", at positions 338 to 795 of the family's 1533-position model. The record is from RNAcentral.
CCUACGGGCGGCAGCAGUGGGGAAUAUUGCACAAUGGGGGAAACCCUGAUGCAGCGACGCCGCGUGAGUGAAGAAGUAUUUCGGUAUGUAAAGCUCUAUCAGCAGGGAAGAAGAAAGACGGUACCUAACUAAGAAGCCCCGGCUAACUACGUGCCAGCAGCCGCGGUAUUACGGAGGGGGCAAGCGUUAUCCGGAUUUACUGGGGGUAAAGGGAGCGUAGACGGCUGUGCAAGUCUGAAGUGAAAGCCCAGGGCUCAACCCUGGGACUGCUUUGGAAACUGUGGAGCUAGAGUGCAGGAGAGGUAAGUGGAAUUCCUAGUGUAGCGGUGAAAUGCGUAGAUAUUAGGAGGAACACCAGUGGCGAAGGCGGCUUACUGGACAGUAACUGACGUUGAGGCUCGAAAGCGUGGGGAGCAAACAGGAUUAGAUACCCGUGUAGUC